Bos taurus (domestic cattle) is the source of this 1165-nucleotide long non-coding RNA. The record is from Ensembl. Lineage: Eukaryota; Metazoa; Chordata; Mammalia; Artiodactyla; Bovidae.
ACACACGCACACACACAUUCACACACUCGCCCCCCUAGAGGACCAGCGCUCUGAGUAGAGAGGGAGCCUGGGGCGGGGAGGGGCAAGCAGCAGGCUGAGCGGAGCCAGAAGUCCUAACCCCUCGUGCUCUUUAAGCUCGCGGGGAAGGAGCUGCUCCACAACCCACAGGUGUAGUUCCUCCCCAGCCAAUAGCUCCUGAAGUUUUAUGUCCCUUGGCUCUCCCUCCGGCUUCACCGCUGGGACGUGAACCCAGCCAGGAAGAGCUCAGCUGAACUCUGGUCCAGAAGGACCAGAAGGAAUUAAUUCCUCGCUAUCCCCGGUUCCUCCAAUACAGCCCAGCCUAGUGGCUCAAGAUGCAGUACUUGCUCCGGAUGUCCCUGAGGCUGAGAUGGGAGGGCAAGAGCUGACGCGCCUACUUCUUCCUAGAGGCCAAGGUCCCAGCCAAGUAGAAGGCAGAAAAGAAACAGCAGUUACAAGUGUGCAACCCCUUUCUCCCCGCUCCCCCCACUCGCUGCUUGGACUGAACAGAAUCCAGAAAACUGAGGGAGAAUCCGGCUGAGUGGACCUGGAGUCUGCAGGGACCGAGUUGAAACAACCUUCACUGGGCGUGGUUGGCGCCCAACCUGGGAGGAAUCAGUGUGAGAUUCUGGCGCCACCUAGACGUCAGGGUGGGGAUUGCAAGCAUAGCGGGGAUGGCGACUCCCAGGGAAAUUUGGGCAGUUCAUCCCUGGGUCAUAUCCUGGGAUGAGAGGCCCACGUCAGGCAGCCCCUCCCUUCAGAUGGACACUGUGUGUGACCACUGUGUGAACGAGUGUAACAAGUGUAAGGUGUGGUUCUGAGAAGGGCCUGGGAGGGGACUGGGACCCCAGCCCUUGGCUGAGACUCUCGUCUCCACCCAGUCUGUCCUCCACGUUGGCUUAGUGUGGCCUUUCAACACCAUGCCAGAGUCUCCCGAGCCUGUUGACCACUCAUGACCUUCUUCCGAGACCCUAAUACCCAUUCUUGCGCAGUCUCCCUCCCUCCCAGCCCCUCUCAGAACUGUUUUCUUGGGUGUGGUGCUGACCUAGACCACGGGACUUGGGUGAAACCCCAGCUCUGACCCUGUACUGUCUGCAUGGGUUUAUUCCCAUACGAGGAAGUUCCUUCUUCUGGGCUGGUAUAGCCU